This 257-nucleotide ribosomal RNA is filed under the name uncultured bacterium. RNAcentral describes it as "partial 16S ribosomal RNA". It matches the Rfam family "Bacterial small subunit ribosomal RNA", at positions 524 to 776 of the family's 1533-position model. The record is from RNAcentral.
UACAGAGGGUGCGAGCGUUGUCCGGAAUCACUGGGCGUAAAGGGCGCGUAGGUGGUGGCUUAAGCGUGCGGUGAAAGCUCGGAGCUCAACUCCGAGUCGGCCGUGCGAACUGGGCUCACUGGAGCAUAGUAGAGGCAGGUGGAAUUCCGGGUGUAGCGGUGGAAUGCGUAGAGAUGCGGAGGAACACCGAUGGCGAAGGCAGCCCCCCUGGGCUAGCACUGACGCUGAGGCGCGAAAGCGUGGGGGGAGCGAUCCGG